Molecule: ribosomal RNA, 533 nt
Filed under: uncultured bacterium
Lineage: Bacteria
Description: partial 16S ribosomal RNA
Rfam family: Bacterial small subunit ribosomal RNA
Source: RNAcentral
UGGGGAAUAUUGGACAAUGGGCGCAAGCCUGAUCCAGCCAUGCCGCGUGAGUGAUGAAGGCCUUAGGGUUGUAAAGCUCUUUCGCCGGUGAAGAUAAUGACGGUAACCGGAGAAGAAGCCCCAGCUAACUUCGUGCCAGCAGCCGCGGUAAUACGAAGGGGGCUAGCGUUGCUCGGAAUCACUGGGCGUAAAGCGCACGUAGGCGGAUCGUUAAGUCAGGGGUGAAAUCCUGGAGCUCAACUCCAGAACUGCCCUUGAUACUGGCGAUCUCGAGUUCGAGAGAGGUUGGUGGAACUCCGAGUGUAGAGGUGAAAUUCGUAGAUAUUCGGAAGAACACCAGUGGCGAAGGCGGCCAACUGGCUCGAUACUGACGCUGAGGUGCGAAAAGCGUGGGGAGCAAAACAGGAUUAGAUACCCUGGUAGUCCACGCCGUAAAACGAUGGAUGCUAGCCGUUGGGGGGUUUACCUCUCAGUGGCGCAGCUAACGCCUUAAGCAUCCCGCCUGGGGAGUACGGUCGCAAGAUUAAAAACUC